This 460-nucleotide ribosomal RNA is filed under the name uncultured bacterium. RNAcentral's name for it is "partial 16S ribosomal RNA". It matches the Rfam family "Bacterial small subunit ribosomal RNA", at positions 338 to 795 of the family's 1533-position model. The record is from RNAcentral.
CCUACGGGUGGCAGCAGUGAGGAAUAUUGGUCAAUGGGCGCGAGUCUGAACCAGCCAAGUAGCGUGAAGGAUGACUGCCCUAUGGGUUGUAAACUUCUUUUAUAUGGGAAUAAAAUGUUCCACGUGUGGGAUUUUGUAUGUACCAUAUGAAUAAGGAUCGGCUAACUCCGUGCCAGCAGCCGCGGUAAUACGGAGGAUCCGAGCGUUAUCCGGAUUUAUUGGGUUUAAAGGGAGCGUAGGUGGAUUGUUAAGUCAGUUGUGAAAGUUUGCGGCUCAACCGUAAAAUUGCAGUUGAAACUGGCAGUCUUGAGUACAGUAGAGGUGGGCGGAAUUCGUGGUGUAGCGGUGAAAUGCUUAGAUAUCACGAAGAACUCCGAUUGCGAAGGCAGUUCACUGGACUGCAACUGACACUGAGGCUCGAAAGUGUGGGUAUCAAACAGGAUUAGAUACCCCUGUAGUC